UGGGGAAUUUUGGACAAUGGGGGGAAACCCUGAUCCAGCCAUCCCGCGUGUGCGAUGAAGGCCUUCGGGUUGUAAAGCACUUUUGGCAGGAAAGAAACGUCGCGGGUUAAUACCCCGCGGAACUGACGGUACCUGCAGAAUAAGCACCGGCUAACUACGUGCCAGCAGCCGCGGUAAUACGUAGGGUGCAAGCGUUAAUCGGAAUUACUGGGCGUAAAGCGUGCGCAGGCGGUUCGGAAAGAAAGAUGUGAAAUCCCAGAGCUUAACUUUGGAACUGCAUUUUUUAACUACCGGGCUAGAGUGUGUCAGAGGGAGGUGGAAUUCCGCGUGUAGCAGUGAAAUGCGUAGAUAUGCGGAGGAACACCGAUGGCGAAGGCAGCCUCCUGGGAUAACACUGACGCUCAUGCACGAAAGCGUGGGGAGCAAACAGGAUUAGAUACCCUGGUAGUCCACGCCCUAAACGAUGUCAACUAGCUGUUGGGGUCUUCGGACCUUGGUAGCGCAGCUAACGCGUGAAGUUGACCGCCUGGGGAGUACGGUCGCAAGAUUAAAACUC
RNAcentral lists this ribosomal RNA (556 nucleotides) under uncultured bacterium. RNAcentral's name for it is "partial 16S ribosomal RNA". It matches the Rfam family "Bacterial small subunit ribosomal RNA", at positions 355 to 902 of the family's 1533-position model. The record is from RNAcentral.